AAAUUGAAGAGUUUGAUCAUGGCUCAGAUUGAACGCUGGCGGCAGGCCUAACACAUGCAAGUCGAACGGUAACAGGAAACAGCUUGCUGUUUCGCUGACGAGUGGCGGACGGGUGAGUAAUGUCUGGGAAACUGCCUGAUGGAGGGGGAUAACUACUGGAAACGGUAGCUAAUACCGCAUAAUGUCGCAAGACUAAAGAGGGGGACCUUCGGGCCUCUUGCCAUCGGAUGUGCCCAGAUGGGAUUAG
Molecule: ribosomal RNA, 247 nt
Filed under: Escherichia coli
Lineage: Bacteria; Pseudomonadati; Pseudomonadota; Gammaproteobacteria; Enterobacterales; Enterobacteriaceae
Also listed under: 1 other name
Description: partial 16S ribosomal RNA
Rfam family: Bacterial small subunit ribosomal RNA
Source: RNAcentral